CCUUGCUCCAUGCCAGCAGCCACAAGAGUUCUUUCAUCUUGGCUUCAAAGUGUGGAAGGGGGAGUGCAGGGAACUGCUGUUGCCACCUAGAACGUGGCAGCAGAUAUUGCAUGUACACCAGUGCAGAACUGUGAUUGAUGCAGACUUGACCAAUGUUCUACUCUACUGCUACGGUUGUAAUUCAAGAGAAAGUGCUCUCAGAAAAGCCUACGCAACCCUGGAACGUGACACAGUAUGAAUUCAUAUGGGUACCGGGGGACGGCUUCUGCAGGAAGGCAGAUUAGAGGCAGGCCGUGUACUCGUUCUGUAGUUCUGUCGGGUCAGAAAGUCUGACGCUUGAACACCUUCCCUAAGAG
Molecule: long non-coding RNA, 356 nt
Filed under: Pogona vitticeps (central bearded dragon)
Lineage: Eukaryota; Metazoa; Chordata; Lepidosauria; Squamata; Agamidae
Description: lncRNA (ENSPVIG00000013771.1)
Source: RNAcentral